This 582-nucleotide ribosomal RNA is filed under the name uncultured bacterium. Its description in RNAcentral is "partial 16S ribosomal RNA". It matches the Rfam family "Bacterial small subunit ribosomal RNA", at positions 355 to 1375 of the family's 1533-position model. The record is from RNAcentral.
UGGGGAAUUUUGGACAAUGGGCGAAAGCCUGAUCCAGCAAUGCCGCGUGUGUGAAGAAGGCCUUCGGGUUGUAAAGCACUUUUGUCCGGAAAGAAAUCCUUGGCUCUAAUACAGUCGGGGGAUGACGGUACCGGAAGAAUAAGCACCGGCUAACUACGUGCCAGCAGCCGCGGUAAUACGUAGGGUGCAAGCGUUAAUCGGAAUUACUGGGCGUAAAGCGUGCGCAGGCGGUUUGCUAAGACCGAUGUGAAAUCCCCGGGCUCAACCUGGGAACUGCAUUGGUGACUGGCAGGCUAGAGUAUGGCAGAGGGGGGUAGAAUUCCACGUGUAGCAGUGAAAUGCGUAGAGAUGUGGAGGAAUACCGAUGGCGAAGGCAGCCCCUGGGCCAAUACUGACGCUCAUGCACGAAAGCGUGGGGAGCAAACAGGAUUAGAUACCCUGGUAGUCCACGCCCUAAACGAUGUCAACUAGUUGUUGGGGAUUCAUUUCCUUAGUAACGUAGCUAACGCGUGAAGUUGACCGCCUGGGGAGUACGGUCGCAAGAUUAAACUCAAUGAAUUGACGGGGUCAUAGCUGUUUCCU